GACGAACGCUGGCGGCGUGCUUAAUACAUGCCAGUCGAACGGAAAGGCCCUGCUUUUGUGGGGUGCUCGAUUGGCGAACGGGUGAGUAACACGUGAGUAACCUGCCCUUGACUUUGGGAUAACUUUAGGAAACUGGGGCUAAUACCGGAUAGGAGCUCCUGCUGCAUGGUGGGGGUUGGAAAGUUUCGGCGGUUGGGGAUGGACUCGCGGCUUAUCAGCUUGUUGGUGGGGUAGUGGCUUACCAAGGCUUUGACGGGUAGCCGGCCUGGGAGGGUGACCGGCCACAUUGGGACUGAGGUACGGCCCAGACUGCAACGGGAGGCAGCAGUGGAGAAUAUUGCGCAAUGGGCGGAAGCCUGAUGCAGCGACGCCGCGUGCGGGAUGACGGCCUUCGGGUUGUAAACCGCUUUCGCCUGUGACGAAGCGUGAGUGACGGUAAUGGGUAAGAAAGCACCGGCUAACUACGUG
Molecule: ribosomal RNA, 468 nt
Filed under: uncultured bacterium
Lineage: Bacteria
Description: partial 16S ribosomal RNA
Rfam family: Bacterial small subunit ribosomal RNA
Source: RNAcentral